Molecule: small RNA, 28 nt
Filed under: Bombyx mori (domestic silkworm)
Lineage: Eukaryota; Metazoa; Arthropoda; Insecta; Lepidoptera; Bombycidae
Description: ovarian small RNA-33433
Source: RNAcentral
UGCACAAGAGAUGGUGAGUCGUGAGCUG